CCUGCCUUCAGCCGCCUCCGGGGACCGCAAGCAGUUCGCCGCCGUGGGGUAGGCAGCAGGCGCUGGGGCGGUGGCACGAGGCGGGCCUGGGGCUCCGCACUCCCUCACGGACUUCGAGCGUGUGUUGCCGGGCUGGGUUUGUUGUUGUGGAGGUGUGUGUGUUUUUCCGGCGGGGUGGGGGGGCGGCCUCACCCCUGGGCAUUUCCGCGGUUGUCCUCGGGCCCUCGCCGGGGUGUGAGGAGCGGCGCAGGUUGGACGAGGGCGCGGGGUGGUCCCCGGCACCCCGCUCCGGCCCCUUGGAGGGGGAGCGGCGCGGAGGGGCGGGGCGGGGUGCGUGUGUAAAUGUUGCGCACUCUCUUUUCCCCCACCCCCGCCUUCUUCCAGGGUGCUGGCGUGGGUCCCUCGCCGUCCGGCGGCGACUGUAAAUAGAGCCUGGAUGUUGUUUACAUGAAGGAUCCGGCGGGAGGAGUCUGCGAGGAGGAGGCGGAGGAGGAGGGAGGGAGGAGAGAGGAAGAGCGGAGUCCCCGCGGCGGCGGCGGUCCGGGGUGAGGGGGAGCCCCGCGCGGCGUCCGGGGACCGGGCGCUACCACGAGGCCGGGACGCUGUACCCUGGGCUACCCGCACGCCAGCUGCCAGCUUCUUGGAGAAGGACCACACCUGUGCUUAUUCUCGCUUUGGAGGAGAGGGAACCGUGAGGCGCGACGGCGCGGCCGGGACGGCGGGGAUCCGGACGGCCCCAAGCCCGGGCCAAGAGAGCCUCGCUUCGAGCAGAGGCCGAGGGUGGAGAAGCGCGUGGGGGCCGCCCCUUCUCGGCGCCAGAGACCGCCCCCGCGCGCCUCGCGGGGCUCCGCCGGGGGCCGCGCGCCGAGGGGGCGGGAGCCAGAGCGGGAACGGCG
This 896-nucleotide long non-coding RNA is filed under the name Ursus americanus (American black bear). RNAcentral's name for it is "lncRNA (ENSUAMG00000009392.1)". The record is from RNAcentral. Lineage: Eukaryota; Metazoa; Chordata; Mammalia; Carnivora; Ursidae.